This 888-nucleotide long non-coding RNA is filed under the name Mytilus galloprovincialis (Mediterranean mussel). Lineage: Eukaryota; Metazoa; Mollusca; Bivalvia; Mytilida; Mytilidae. The record is from RNAcentral.
UUCUGAAUAAAAUAUUUUUUAGCUUUUUCUUUCUUUUACAUAUAUCUUUUGGUUUACAAUACUAGUGUUUAUAUUCAUUUACCAUGCAUAGAUGUAUUUUUUCACCUGCUUGGAUUUAUUUUGUAAAUGAUCGUCAAACCCGGAAUUAUCCUUAUCCGCUUCCGGGAUCGGAUCCGAUUUUGUAAAAUUUUGUCUUCACGGCCGCCAUUGUUAUGUGUUUACAAUGUUGUUUUUGUCAAUCAGAUACGAUUUUACUCGAAUUUAUACAAUAUUUGUCGGCGAUUUUCUGUAUAAAGCUAGCGGUUGAACAAAAUGAACAUCGCCGUCACGAAUAACAAUGAUAAAAAUAAGUUUUUAGCUCGUUUAAAUGGAGACUUUGGUGAACAUGGUGCCGAAAAGGUUUGCAAAGUAAUUUCUUAUUUUCUUUCAAAUGUAAGGCGACUAGAAACCAACUAUCCUAGUCGAAAUUCCGCUUGCAAAAGUGGAAGGUCUCGGACCACCGCUAAUUUGCACACCUGCCUCCAAAUUGAAAAGCUACGAAAAUUUCUUUUUCUAAUUUGAAAUUGCCGCCAACAGCAUGAACAGUUGAAUUAUAUAAUAGACUACUGACGUAGUUGUACUACGUAUUGAUGACAAACAAUAUUCCUACGACUUUUGUCAUUUGGGAAAUCUAAACUGCUUGUCUUAAGAGAUUUUCGGCGAUUAAAUAUUUCAUACAAUUGUUCUUUGACAUCUUAGCUAAAAGCACGAGUCAUAAUGAACUACACAAGGAUUUUUAAUAAGCACUACUUCCUAUGUGUAACUUUAAAACUUUUGGAUAAAUCGACGAUCAUUUAAGGUUUUUCUGGUCAUUUUUUUUGUAAUCCAGAAUAAAAAGUAUUAAAAAAG